Molecule: long non-coding RNA, 962 nt
Organism: Anolis carolinensis (green anole)
Lineage: Eukaryota; Metazoa; Chordata; Lepidosauria; Squamata; Anolidae
Exons: 2
Source: RefSeq, a predicted model, not a curated record
CCACUCCCGGGAAUGUUAAUGCAUUCCUUCUUUUUUGGGUGGGAUAUUUCUAUAUGUGCACUAGAAGACAGAGGAGAGAUUGUUGUGGGAUGGGGAAGGUAUUAGAUGUCAAGUGUUUCUGCUGUGGCAACAUGUGCCAAAAUCCUGCACCAUAAAUGAUAAUGACAUGUAACUUUAUGAUGCCAGAGCUAUGUUGUGGACAUGACAUCCAAGCAUAAUAGUGAAUUGUGAUGAUGCACAACAAAACAUCAUGCAAGCUGCCCCAUUGUGCCAGGUGAUCCACUUGCACCAUUGUGGUAUAUCUAUUGGUGUAGUUCUGGUAGCGUUACUGUCUCUCCUCCCCUUCUAAGAAUACAAACAUUGUGCAAUGAUACAAUUUAACCAUGCACAAUUGUAGGUGCUGUGAGCUAUAUCCUUCAGAAAAGGAACUGGCAAAACCACUUCUUGAGUAUUAUUCGCCUAAGAAAAGCCAAUGAAAUUCAAGGGUCUCGUUCAAACAGCACUGAAGGCAACUGGAAGGUACAGCUUGUUUACUUUGUGAUAUGCUGCCACCUGCUGGCCAGGCCCCUUACUAGCACCCAACCCAGGAAGGUGUGCCCAGAAGAAAAGGAUUCGCAUUUCCACUCGAAAUCCAAAACUGAUCCUGUGACGUCAUCGUACACUCACACCGGAAGGGAAGGGGGGAAAAUCCGAUGUUUACACUCCAGUCGCUGGAACUCAGAGUCAGCCUGAUUAGGGCCGAUAACACUUCACUGAACAGCUCAUAACAAAUAGCAACUAGCUUGCUCACAAGCAAAACUGUUCACCCCACCUAUUAGGGAAAAAACACCAUCGCCUCUGCCACCCCACGUGUGAUUCAAGAAAACAGGAACAAGGGAAGGGUAUUUUUCCAGGCUGGUGCUACUGUUUGAUUCACAUUUGAGGUGUGCCCUUUCCAAAUGCAAAGAAAACCAUGUGUGUUC